This 383-nucleotide ribosomal RNA is filed under the name uncultured eukaryote. RNAcentral describes it as "partial 18S ribosomal RNA". It matches the Rfam family "Eukaryotic small subunit ribosomal RNA", at positions 592 to 977 of the family's 1831-position model. The record is from RNAcentral.
UGUAAGCGUAUACCAAAGUUGUUGCAGUUAAAACGCUCGUAGUCGGAAUUUGGCAGUUCCGGAAGUGUGCACGUCGUGUGCGCACUUUGCGGGGACUGCUCUUGUGGUCUUGCGUAGGAUGAGGCACUUUCAUUAGUGAACGUCCUCACGCAACCACUCUUUACUGUGAGAAAAUCAGAGUGCUCAAAGCAGGCAUUUGCCGUGAAUGUAUUAGCAUGGAAUAAUAGAAUAGGACUCGGUUCUAUUUUGUUGGUUUGUUGGGACUGAGUAAUGAUUAAGAGGGACAGUUGGGGGCAUUUGUAUUCCGGCGCUAGAGGUGAAAUUCUUAGAUUGCCGGAAGACAAACUGCUGCGAAAGCGUCUGCCAAGGAUGUUUUCAUUGAC